GACGAACGCUGGCGGCGUGCCUAAUACAUGCAAGUGGAACGCACGAGGUACACCGUAGUUUACUACACCGUACUUUGUGAGUCGCGAACGGGUGAGUAACGCGUAGGUAACCUACCUUUUAGCGGGGGAUAACUAUUGGAAACGAUAGCUAAUACCGCAUAAGAUAUCUUACUGCAUGGUAAGAUAUUAAAAGAUGCAAUUGCAUCACUAAGAGAUGGACCUGCGUUGUAUUAGCUAGUAGGUGAGGUAACGGCUCACCUAGGCAACGAUACAUAGCCGACCUGAGAGGGUGAUCGGCCACACUGGGACUGAGACACGGCCCAGACUCCUACGGGAGGCAGCAGUAGGGAAUCUUCGGCAAUGGGGGGAACCCUGACCGAGCAACGCCGCGUGAGUGAAGAAGGUUUUCGGAUCGUAAAGCUCUGUUGUAAGAGAAGAACGAGUG
RNAcentral lists this ribosomal RNA (445 nucleotides) under Streptococcus sinensis. RNAcentral describes it as "bacterial SSU rRNA". It matches the Rfam family "Bacterial small subunit ribosomal RNA", at positions 28 to 455 of the family's 1533-position model. Lineage: Bacteria; Bacillati; Bacillota; Bacilli; Lactobacillales; Streptococcaceae. The record is from RNAcentral.